This 1109-nucleotide long non-coding RNA is filed under the name Arachis ipaensis. RNAcentral describes it as "long non-coding RNA (AIPA_LNC001798)". The record is from RNAcentral. Lineage: Eukaryota; Viridiplantae; Streptophyta; Magnoliopsida; Fabales; Fabaceae.
ACCAGUAGAAAUUGAUAUAUAUUUGAUUUAUUAGCUGUACAUCAUUUUAAUUCAUAUCCGUGAAGUUGAUAACUGAAAACUUAUAAAUAAUUUGAUUGAUUUAACUACAUUCUUAUAUAAUGAUUAUCCACUGUCAACUUAACGUGGUAAAGUAGAGUGCACCUCAUCAGUGACUUUUCACCUUCAACAAAUUAGAAAACAAAGGCAAAACAAAAUCAAUUUGCAUUCAGGUGGCCAGUUGGAUUUCUCAUUGCCCAUCAUAUGAAGAUCAGAGAAGGUGAUAGGCGACGUUUGACUAAAACCUCAAGCGGUGUGGUUUUGAUGAUUGUGAGGCCAAACGUCGCACUCAUAUCAACAGGAGCAUCUGAGGGAGUUGUGACCUCAAACGCAUGCAAGAAUGCAGCUAAUGCCAAUUUCGUCAUUUGAAGCCCAAAUGACGCACCGGGGCAAACCCUUCUUCCGCCGCCAAACGGAAGAAGCUCGAAAUGCUGACCCUUCACAUCCACAUCUUUGUGUGCGCUUAGAAACCUCUCUGGUUUAAAUUCCAUUGGAUCUGACCAUACGCGAGGGUCUCUGUGAAGCUUCCAAAGGUUCAAGAGCAUUCGAGUACCUGCUUUGAUAUGAUAACCCCCUAAGCUACAAUCCUCUGUGAAUUCACGAGGUCCUGAUAGUGGUCCAGCGGGGUACAAUCGCAUCGAUUCUUUGACCACAGCUUCAAGGUAUGUUAGUUUGUUAACAUCUGAUUCCUUCACCACUCUUUCUUUUCCUACCUUAUCGUCUAGCUCGUCUUGAACUUUCUUUAGAAUGUGGCGAUGAUUUAGCAGUAACGAAAGUGUCCAUGUCAUGGUAACUGUUGUUGUAUCAGUUGCCGCUGAAAUUAUCAUCUGCAAAUAAUGCAAAAGAGUUAAUUACCAUUAUCUUUAACAAAUAAAAGCCAUCAUUAAAUUUCUUCUAAACUACAGUGGAGCAUACCAAACAAGUGGCUUUGAUGACAGUGUCAAGAUGAUAACCGUUAAGAUGAGCACUAUCAAGAACAGAAAGCAGGACGUCAAUGAAGUCUUGCUCUAUUGAGUUCUCACUCUCAUGAUCAUCAGAGUCUCUUCUUCUUC